UGAGCAAUCUGCCCUUCUCUUCGGAAUAAGCGUUGGAAACGACGUCUAAUGCCGAAUACGACCUCCUUUCGCAUGAUCGGAGGUGGAAAGCUCCGGCGGAGAAGGAUGAGCUCGCGGCCUAUCAGCUAGUUGGUGUGGGUAAUGGCCCACAAGGCGACGACGGGUAGCUGGUCUGAGAGGACGACCAGCCACACUGGAACUGAGAUACGGUCCAGCUCCGUAGGGAG
Molecule: ribosomal RNA, 227 nt
Filed under: uncultured bacterium
Lineage: Bacteria
Description: partial 16S ribosomal RNA
Rfam family: Bacterial small subunit ribosomal RNA
Source: RNAcentral